CUCUGUGGCCAUAACACCUGAAGGUGUCCGAUCUGGUCUGAUCUUGGAAGCUAAGCAGGGUCGGGCCUGGUUAGUACUUGGAUGCGAGACCACCCGGGGAACACCGGUGCAGCCAUAGGCU
This 121-nucleotide ribosomal RNA is filed under the name Prolemur simus (greater bamboo lemur). The record is from RNAcentral. Lineage: Eukaryota; Metazoa; Chordata; Mammalia; Primates; Lemuridae.